RNAcentral lists this ribosomal RNA (506 nucleotides) under uncultured bacterium. Its description in RNAcentral is "bacterial SSU rRNA". It matches the Rfam family "Bacterial small subunit ribosomal RNA", at positions 62 to 561 of the family's 1533-position model. The record is from RNAcentral.
UCGAACGGUAACAGGAAAAGCUUGCUUUUCGCUGACGAGUGGCGCACGGGUGCGUAACGCGUAUGCAACCUACCUCUAACUGGAAGAUAGCCCCGAGAAAUCGGGAUUAAUACUCCAUAGUAUAAUCGAUUCGCAUGUUUUGAUUAUUAAAGUUUCGGCGGUUAGAGAUGGGCAUGCGUUCCAUUAGCUAGUUGGUAAGGUAACGGCUUACCAAGGCGACGAUGGAUAGGGGGCCUGAGAGGGUAAUCCCCCACACUGGUACUGAGACACGGACCAGACUCCUACGGGAGGCAGCAGUGAGGAAUAUUGCGCAAUGGAGGCAACUCUGACGCAGCCAUGCCGCGUGCAGGAUGACGGCCCUACGGGUUGUAAACUGCUUUUAUAUGGGAAGAAACCCUCCUACGUGUAGGAGCUUGACGGUACCAUACGAAUAAGGAUCGGCUAACUCCGUGCCAGCAGCCGCGGUAAUACGGAGGAUCCAAGCGUUAUCCGGAUUUAUUGGGUUU